This is a small nucleolar RNA of Eleginops maclovinus (Patagonian blennie), 123 nucleotides long. RefSeq annotates it as small nucleolar RNA SNORA57. Lineage: Eukaryota; Metazoa; Chordata; Actinopteri; Perciformes; Eleginopidae. The record is from RefSeq and is a predicted model, not a curated record. The transcript has a single exon.
CCUCCAUUUCUUGGAGUACUCAUGUGUGUAAUGUUCAGAGGGAAACUAAAGGCAGUGCUAUGUCUUCGGUGCCAGUGUGUGUGAGAUCGUCUGCCGGUUCUGUCCUCAAUCACUGUUACAUUC